UCUAUAGUCCGACGACCUUGAGUGGC
This 26-nucleotide small RNA is filed under the name Bombyx mori (domestic silkworm). Its description in RNAcentral is "ovarian small RNA-29511". The record is from RNAcentral. Lineage: Eukaryota; Metazoa; Arthropoda; Insecta; Lepidoptera; Bombycidae.